CCCUUAGAGUUUGAUCCUGGCUCAGAACGAACGCUGGCGGCGUGUUUAAGACAUGCAAGUCGCACGGGAUCAGUUUGGUAGUAAUACUCGACUGGUCCAGUGGCGCACGGGUGAGUAACACGUGAAUUACAUGCCCUUCAGUGGGGAAUAGCCCAGGGAAACUUGGAUUAAUACCCCAUGGUAUCGCAAGAUUAAAGGUGGCCGCAAGGCUGUCGCUGAAGGAUUGGUUCGCGCCCUAUCAGCUUGUUGGUGAGGUAACGGCUCACCAAGGCUACGACGGGUACCUGGUCUGAGAGGACGAUCAGGCACACUGGAACUGAGACACGGUCCAGACACCUACGGGUGGCAGCAGUCGAGAACAAUUCACAAUGGGGGCAACCCUGAUGGUGCAACGCCGCGUGGAGGAUGACGGUCUUCGGAUUGUAAACUCCUGUCAUCCGGGAGUAAGACCUGGUCGUUAAUAGCGAACAGGGUUGAUAGUACCGGAAGAGGAAGGGACGGCUAACUUCGUGCCAGCAGCCGCG
RNAcentral lists this ribosomal RNA (524 nucleotides) under uncultured bacterium. RNAcentral describes it as "bacterial SSU rRNA". It matches the Rfam family "Bacterial small subunit ribosomal RNA", at positions 1 to 519 of the family's 1533-position model. The record is from RNAcentral.